AGUCAGGUUUUAGAAUGCGAAACAAAUUAUUAUUAUACAUGUGUCGUUUUAUUUGUUUUUUGUGUGUGUUUUAAUUGUAAUCAGUACAAAGUACUUUGUGGCCCGUUUCAGACCAAUAAACCGAAAAAUGUCUAGGGACAUGAACGUCACGGGACCAGAAGAUGAGAACCUUGAAGGUGAGAGCGACAGCGUGAACCAGACGGGUAGGAGGGGACAAAAUUCGUGUUCUCUACGGUUUCCAUCAUCACAAUUACGGGCUCCUACCUCGGUUAUGGAGAGAUUUCGUCGUCGCGCGUUUGGUCAGAAUUUCAAUUCUAGAAGUAACCCUGCUGAUACUUCAAGUCGUAGAAAAAAAAAGAUAGCUUUUAUAUUGAAACGACCGGUGUCUGUUCUGGAAAAUCCAGUAUCUGAGGAAGAGCAAUCUGUGGAAGAAUUGGAGUCUGUUGAGCAGCAAUCACUGUCUGAUGUAGAGCAAGAGGUGCCUGACCUUGAACAAUCGGUGAGAAUUGUUGAACAAUUGGUGUCCGUUGUUGAAGAAACGGUAUCUGAAAUGGAGUCACCAGCGCCUGUCUGUGAACAACCGAUUCCUGUCGUUGCACAAUUGCUCUCUGUUGCGCAGCAAACACUGACCCUUGUGGAGCAACCAGGGUCUGUUGUUAAGCAACCGGGGCUUGAUGAAAAACCGACGCCUAUCGUUAAACAAUCGGUGUCCGGCGUUGAAGAAUUUGUGUCUGGAGAGGAAUCACCAGGGCUCGUGUGUGAACAACCGGUUUCUGACAGUGAGCAAUUGAUGUCGGUUGCGCAGCAAACAGUACCUUUUAUAGAGCAAUCAGAUUCCGUUAUCAAGCAACCGGUGCCUGACGAUGGAACCUCAGCGACUAUCGUUGAACAAUCGGUGUCCGUCUUUGAAGAAAUGGUGUCUGAAGAGGAGUCACCAGGGCCUGUGUGUCAACAACCGGUUCCUGACGGUGAGCAAUCGCUGUCUGUUACGCAGAAACCAGAUUCUGUUGUUACCGUUGAACAGUCGAUGUCCAUCUUCGAAGAAAUGGUGCCUGAAGAAAACUCACCAGGGCGUGUCUGUGAACAACCGGUUCAUGACGGUGAGAAAUCGCUGUCUGUUGCACAGCAAACAGUGCCUUUCGUAGAGCAACCAGAUUCUGUUGUAAUGCAACCGGUACCUGACGAUGAAAACUCAGCGACCAUUGUUGAACAGUCGGCGGUGUCCGUCGUUGUGGAAAUAAUUUCUGAAGAGGAGUCACCAAGGAUCGUGUGUGAACAACCGGAUUCUGACGGUGAGCAAUCGCUGUCUGUUGCGCAGCAAACAUCACCCUUCAUGGAGCAACCAGAUUCUGUUGAUAUCGUUGAACAGUCGGUGUCCUUCGUUGAAGAAAUGGUGUCUGAAGAAGAGUCAUCAGGGCUCGUGCGUAAACAAUCGGAUUCUGACGGUGAGCAAUCACUGUCUGUUGCGCAGCAAACAGAACCCUUUGUGGAGCAACCAGAUUCUAUUGAGGUCCUCGUUGAAGAAAUUUUGUCUGAAGAGGAGUCAUCAGGGCUCAUGUGUAAACAACCGGUUCCUGACGGUGAGCAAUCACUGUCUGUUGCGCAGCAAACAGAACCCUUUGUGGAGCAACCAGAUUCUAUUGAGGUCCUCGUUGAAGAAAUUUUGUCUGAAGAGGAGUCACUAGGGCUCGUGUGUAAACAACCGGUUCCUGACGGUGAGCAAUCGCUGUCUGUUGCGCAGCAAACAGAACUCUUUGUGGAGCAACCAUAUGCUCUUGAAGUCCUCGUAGAAGAAAUUUUGUCUGAAGAGGAGUCACCAGGGCUCAUGCGUAUACAAUCGAAUUCUGACGGUGAGCAAUCGCUGUCUGUUGCGACGCAAACAUCACCCUUCAUGGAGCAACCAGAUUCUGUUGAUAUCGUAGAACAUUCGGUGUCCGUUGUUGAAGAAACGUUGACUGAAGAGGAGUCACCAGGGCUCGUGCGUAAACAAUCGGAUUCUGACGGUGAGCAAUCGCUGUCUGUUGCGCAGCAAACAUCACCCUUCAUGGAACAACCAGAUUCUGUUGAUAUCGUUGAACAGUCGGUGUCCGUCGUUGAAGAAAUGGUAUCUGAAGAGGAGUCACCAGGGCUCGUGUGUGAACAACCGAUUCCUGACGGUGAGCAAUCGCGGUCUGUUGCGCAACAAACAGUACCCUCCGUGGAACAACCAUAUUCUAUUGUUGAGCAACCGAUUCCUGACGAUGAAAUUUCGGCGACUAUCGUUAAACAGUCGGGGUUCGUCGUUGAAGAAAUGGUGUCUAAAGAGGAGUCAGCAUCGCUGUCUAUUGCGCAGCAAACAGUACCUUUUGUGGAGCGACCAGAUUCUAUUGUUGAGCAACCGAUGGCUGACGAUGAAAAAUUGGCGCCUAAUGUCCUUGAACAAGAAGUGCCAUCUGGGCAGCAACCAAUGCAUGAUGUGAGGCGUCAAAAUGAUGUAGAGUUUCAAGCACAGCUCCAAAUUGUGAGAGAAAUGUGUAAUACAGCAAUGAACAGUAUACCAUUUCUCGCCGAACCGGUACAGAACUAUUCCAGUUUUGCAGACGAGAACUCGAUCAAUGUCAUAGAAUUUCUCAGACAGCAAUGUCGAAGAAUCUUUUCGGAUAAAGUCCUGAAAGCCGUCAACACCUCCGCCGCCGGUACGUCUGCCCCUCCUCAAUCUGGAAGCGAUGAGAACAACCGUCAAGCGGGCUGCUCGAGUUCUCAGAGUUGUAGACAAGUACAGCAGGAAUUAUUGAAUCGUAUGCAAGAUUGUGUCAAGGCGUUUUUCAAGCAAAGAUGGGAAAUUGAACAGCUGAAGCUGUCUCUCGAAAUGAUGCAAAUCGAGGUAGAAAGUCUUCGAAGGAUCGCCGAUCACCCCACUCGAAAUUGGACGUCCGCACCGUUCGACCACAAUCCUUUCCCAGAUCAAAGAAACACUAACUACCCAUCGACCUCUUCUGGGCCUAACUUCAACCAAUACGGCCAGCAACCUCCUUUCACGCCUAACUUCAACCAAUUCGGCCCACCCCCUGCUUUUCCUCCGAACCAGAAUUACGACAACAACAGUAAUUGGAAUUAUCCUUAUUUGAAUUCUCCUCUGAAUACAGGAGUCCCUUUCGGAGAACAAGCAAACAGCAGCCAAACUCAUCCGAACCAAAUGUUGAACAGGUCAUUCCCAAAUAUUCCGCCUCCCAACAUGAACAGAUCUGAUAAUAGUUGGAAUCUCAGAAGCCGAUCUCACCAAAAUCUAUUUUCCGACUACCCAUCUUCUUCUGGGCAACAAUCCGGCAACAACGAAGGUAUCUCUAAUUAUAUGAAGUCUUCCACAUCUCAGCCUAACGUCGACAACCAACGAAGUAAUCAAUACGCGUGGCCUCCUACAUCCAGCGAUCCCCAACAAUUCGGCAAUAACCAAAGAGUUUUUCAAUUUAAUGUUCCACCUCCUACACUAGGCUAUAACCAAAGAGGCAAUCAGUACAGGGAGCCAACUCAGCAACGAAGUGAUCGGAACACAACUCCGUUAAUCUCGCCAAAUUUCACCAGAAAUCAAAGGGGCAGACAUAAUUCCCAGUCGACCAAUAAAACUCCCAUUCGCCAAAGAAACAUUCAGGACACAACAACUCCUGAACGACCUAAUCAAUACAGGGGACCUCCAGUGCCUACCUCACAGCAAUUCGUCGACGACCAACAAGAUGAUCAACAGCCGGCCCUUCCUUCAUGUAUGUACCAGCAAGCUAAUUACCAAAGACCUACUCAUUUCGUGGAGUCUCCUACACCUAGUUCCGCACGAAGCCCAGUUGUGCCUAGUCAGGAAUGCAAUUCAGCAGUUCUGAAAAAGUUGAUAGACGAUAUCAUCAACAGUUCUCUGGUUGAUUUUGAAUCGACAGACGUUCGAUGCCAGAUUCGAAAAGAAAAAAUGUUCGAGGCUGUGUCUGCUCUCUUCAGAACCUAUAGCAAUAUUCCCGAGUUUUUACCCAAUCUGAUUCGAGAACUCUUCAAUCUUGGAGCCAAUCUCUGGGACUCGGGCAUGUUCGAAGUAAUACGAAGGGUUGUUUUGCAGGAAGUUCCCCAACCUUUUGGUAACGUGCGUCUAACCCCCAAUGAGCAGGUGGCGGCUGAGGUUUUGGAAAGCUUAAGCAUGAACACAAAUGAUUUUUCGGUUCCUCCUACUAUGAACACGUUCAAUACAUUCACUCUCAGUAGUUUCAUCCAGCUUCCAGAUUGUGAAGUAUUUCAAGACAUGUAUGACCUAUUGAAGGAAAUUGAACCGUUUUUGAAGAAACACUCAAACAGGACUUUUGAUAGAGAACUACUCGAAUCCUUGAGAAACUAUAUAGUGGAAUCAGCCAUGUUCGCGAGAUUCGUUUACGAACCGGCUUUCCGCAACCAUUUUUCCUCACUUCUGGAUAGAAUGCUGGCUCAGUACUGUAGAAAUACUGUUUCACAUGUUACAAACCAUUUGAACCAAUCGUUAGAGAUAUUUGUCGCGCCAGAAAUCGGAUUGUAUCAGUAUUUGCAGAGGCAUUAUCCCAUUACAGAUGAAGCGAGUGGUUUCGAUUUUAACAUUCCAGAAAUACAACCUCCCUCAGAAGCAAAUGAACCUACUACCACAACUGGCGAGAGUGUAAAUACAACUGGAAAACCAAAUAAUUCAAGAGGCAAUAAUAAAAAGAAGAGGAGAAAAAACAAGAAGUGGCACUAACGUAUUUGGGCCAUUUUAGGGAAGUAGUGAAGCAAAUAGCAGUCAGACAGAUGUCGUUGUCAAGAACCCGAUUACGUCAUCCACUCCAAAAAAAGGGAGAAAAUGAUGCGACAAUUCUCC
Molecule: unclassified non-coding RNA, 4840 nt
Filed under: Leptinotarsa decemlineata (Colorado potato beetle)
Lineage: Eukaryota; Metazoa; Arthropoda; Insecta; Coleoptera; Chrysomelidae
Description: uncharacterized LOC111505427, transcript variant X3
Source: RNAcentral